UAAAUUGAUAGUAGUGAUAUAGUUUAGGGGAUAAAAUUAUAAUAACCCUUUUCGUUCCACCACCACCCACUUCCACCAUUCUCACCCACCACCACUGCUGACCACCUCUUACUCCUUUCUUGCCACAUGAAAUCAACUAACCGGUACUAGUACUACUAUAGCAGUCAAAUUAGAAAGUAAUCUGAAACCCAGUUCCAGAAUCUUGGUCAAAUCUUUCAGCCUCAAUGGUCUUCAAAGAUGCAGAUGCAGCUUUAAACUCGGGUAAGGCCCCUUCUUUUGCCAAGGCAAGCUUGAGCAGCACCAUAGCAGCAGCCUUCCUCGUUGUCCUAUCCUAAUUGCUCAAAAACUCCACCAGACAUAUUAGCAAGUUACUCAGCUUCAUCCUGAAGAGGCCACCAUUGACCUCGAUCAUGAUUUUCAUGAACCCCAAAUAAGAGGGAUGGUAGUGGAAUUAAAAGGGUGUGCAUAAGAGGGAGAAGGAAGGGGAAGACGAGAGAGAGAAAAUGGGUGUAUUGCUUUUGGCUUGCAAAAUUAGAGUUUGGGUGGAAAAAAAUUAGAAAAAAUAAAAAUUUACUCAACGUUAAACAAGUUAUCAUGAUAUUCAAGUUAUAAAAUUUGACAUAAAAUGCGAGGAAUUGACCAAAAAUGAACAAUUUUUUAUUUGUUAGAGACUAAAAUCACUCAUAUUAAUUGUGAGGGAUUAUAUUUUCACGUCAAUAAUACAUGAGGAACGAUUGGUUUCACCACCAACAUUGAUUUGAGCUGUACUUCCUGUUCUGAAUGCUCCAAUAGAAUUUGCUGAUUACUUGCUCUAAAUUUGAAUGUGAUCAGGCUAAUUAUGUCCAACAAGUGUCUCAAAGUUGCAUGGUUUUUUGUGUCCCAGCGUAGUGUAUGGUGUCCUUUCAAUUGAGCCCUUGGUUUCGGUCUAUUCAUACUUAAAUCUUGACAUGAGCCAAUUUAAUCCUCAAAAUAUAAAAUUAGUCAUACUUAAAGUAAAAUCGUUGAUGUAAAUGAAAUAGACUUUAUAGUUAAAUGGGAUAAAUUCUACACUUUGGUGACUAAAGUGGAAUAAACUCAUCAUUUAAGGAUUAAGGUGUGAUAGAUUUCAUAUUUUAGAAACUAAAGUGUUCAUCCAUGUAGCGUUGAAGGUUGUAAAGUGAAAUUAACCAGUUGAUUAUUAAACUGAAAAAGUAAAAAAGUCAAGUUGGUAAUCUUCCAUCACAAAAAGCUUGAUACACUUGCACACAAUAUCCUAUUAUCAAUAUCAAAAUGUGUUGCACUUUGGACAGUGCAACUCAUAGAUUCAUAAUUACAUGACUUGACGUUUCUCAUACUUUAUUUGAAAUAACAUAGCUCUAAUAUCUAUGCUAUUAGGCCUCUCUUUGGGAUUUUCCAAUGUGCAAAAGCAAGCAAUCUUGAGGACUAAAAGCAUUUGCUCCUCGUAUCCAUUGCCCAAGAGCUUAGGAUCGAUUGC
This 1474-nucleotide long non-coding RNA is filed under the name Coffea arabica (coffee). RNAcentral describes it as "long non-coding RNA (CARA_LNC003131)". The record is from RNAcentral. Lineage: Eukaryota; Viridiplantae; Streptophyta; Magnoliopsida; Gentianales; Rubiaceae.